CCUACGGGGGGCAGCAGUGAGGAAUAUUGGUCAAUGGGCGCGAGCCUGAACCAGCCAAGUAGCGUGAAGGAUGAAUGCCCUACGGGUUGUAAACUUCUUUUAUAAAGGAACAAAGUGAGGCACGUGUGCCUUUUUGUAUGUACUUUAUGAAAAAGGAUCGGCUAACUCCGUGCCAGCAGCCGCGGUAAUACGGAGGAUCCGAGCGUUAUCCGGAUUUAUUGGGUUUAAAGGGAGCGUAGAUGGGUUGUUAAGUCAGUUGUGAAAGUUUGGGGCUCAACCGUCAAAUUGCAGUUGAUACUGGCAGUCUUGAGUGCAGGUGAGGUAGGCGGAAUGCGUGGUGUAGCGGUGAAAUGCUUAGAUAUCACGAAGAACUCCGAUUGCGAAGGCAGCUUACUGACCUGCCACUGACGUUGAGGCACGAAAGUGUGGGUAUCAAACAGGAUUAGAUACCCUUGUAGUC
This 460-nucleotide ribosomal RNA is filed under the name uncultured bacterium. Its description in RNAcentral is "partial 16S ribosomal RNA". It matches the Rfam family "Bacterial small subunit ribosomal RNA", at positions 338 to 795 of the family's 1533-position model. The record is from RNAcentral.